AAACAUUAAUUGAUACUCAUCAAGCUUAAUUUCGACUUAAGUUUAGGUUACUUACAUACCAGUGUUUU
RNAcentral lists this transfer RNA (68 nucleotides) under Capillaria sp. cat-2018. Its description in RNAcentral is "tRNA-Arg". Lineage: Eukaryota; Metazoa; Nematoda; Enoplea; Trichinellida; Capillariidae. The record is from RNAcentral.